AUUAAAGUCAGCUAACUAAGCUCCUGGGCCCAUACCCCAAACAUGAUGGUUCAAAUCCGUCCUUUGAUA
This 69-nucleotide transfer RNA is filed under the name Sillago sihama (northern whiting). RNAcentral's name for it is "tRNA-Met". It matches the Rfam family "tRNA". Rfam says of the family: Transfer RNA (tRNA) molecules are approximately 80 nucleotides in length. Their secondary structure includes four short double-helical elements and three loops (D, anti-codon, and T loops). Lineage: Eukaryota; Metazoa; Chordata; Actinopteri; Sillaginidae. The record is from RNAcentral. RNAcentral also lists the same sequence under 1 other name.